Non-coding RNA from Podarcis lilfordi (Lilford's wall lizard), 72 nucleotides. The record is from the annotation of a GenBank genome assembly. NCBI's taxonomy places the organism in Eukaryota, Metazoa, Chordata, Lepidosauria, Squamata, Lacertidae.
AGGGCUGUAGCUCAGUGGCAGAGUGCCUGCUUUGCGGGCUGAAGGUCUUGGGUUCGAUUCCCAACAUCCCUA